Non-coding RNA from Canis lupus familiaris (dog), 112 nucleotides. The record is from Rfam. Lineage: Eukaryota; Metazoa; Chordata; Mammalia; Carnivora; Canidae.
AUUGCUUCUCGGCCUUUUGGCUAAGAUCAAGUGUAGUAUCUGUUCUUAUCAGUUUAAUAUCUGAUACGUCCUCUAUCCAAGCUCUGUUUCCUCCAAUGUAAAAACAUGCAUU